Molecule: transfer RNA, 92 nt
Filed under: Candidatus Saccharimonadota bacterium
Lineage: Bacteria; Candidatus Saccharimonadota
Description: tRNA-Ser
Rfam family: tRNA
About the family: Transfer RNA (tRNA) molecules are approximately 80 nucleotides in length. Their secondary structure includes four short double-helical elements and three loops (D, anti-codon, and T loops). Further hydrogen bonds mediate the characteristic L-shaped molecular structure. tRNAs have two regions of fundamental functional importance: the anti-codon, which is responsible for specific mRNA codon recognition, and the 3' end, to which the tRNAs corresponding amino acid is attached (by aminoacyl-tRNA synthetases). tRNAs cope with the degeneracy of the genetic code in two manners: having more than one tRNA (with a specific anti-codon) for a particular amino acid; and 'wobble' base-pairing, i.e. permitting non-standard base-pairing at the 3rd anti-codon position.
Source: RNAcentral
GGAGAGGUGGCCGAGUGGUUGAAGGUACCUGUCUUGAAAACAGGCGUGUCGUUUAUGCGAUACCGUGGGUUCGAAUCCCACCCUCUCCGCCA